Small nuclear RNA from Sarcophilus harrisii (Tasmanian devil), 106 nucleotides. NCBI's taxonomy places the organism in Eukaryota, Metazoa, Chordata, Mammalia, Dasyuromorphia, Dasyuridae. The record is from Ensembl.
UGCCAGCUCUGGCAGCAUAUUACUAAAAAUGGAACUAGACAAAGAAGAUUAGCAUCGUCCCUGUGAAAAGAUGACAAGUUAUUUGUGAACCACUCUAAAUGUUUUU